RNAcentral lists this ribosomal RNA (513 nucleotides) under uncultured bacterium. RNAcentral's name for it is "partial 16S ribosomal RNA". It matches the Rfam family "Bacterial small subunit ribosomal RNA", at positions 28 to 523 of the family's 1533-position model. The record is from RNAcentral.
GAUGAACGCUGGCGGCGUGCCUAAUACAUGCAAGUCGAGCGAACAGACGAGGAGCUUGCUCCUCUGACGUUAGCGGCGGACGGGUGAGUAACACGUGGAUAACCUACCUAUAAGACUGGGAUAACUUCGGGAAACCGGAGCUAAUACCGGAUAAUAUCUUGAACCGCAUGGGUCAAUAGUGAAAGACGGUUUUGCUGUCACUUAUAGAUGGAUCCGAGCCGCAUUAGCUAGUUGGUAAGGUAACGGCUUACAAAGGCGACGAUGCGUAGCCGACCUGAGAGGGUGAUCGGCCACACUGGAACUGAGACACGGUCCAGACUCCUACGGGAGGCAGCAGUAGGGAAUCUUCCGCAAUGGGCGAAAGCCUGACGGAGCAACGCCGCGUGAGUGAUGAAGGUCUUCGGAUCGUAAAACUCUGUUAUUAGGGAAGAACAAAUGUGUAAGUAACUAUGCACGUCUUGACGGUACCUAAUCAGAAAGCCACGGCUAACUACGUGCCAGCCGCCGCCGUAA